CCAAUAGCGUAUAUUAAAGUUGUUGCAGUUAAAAAGCUCGUAGUUGAACUUCGGGGUUUACCCAUUGGUCAGGCUUAAUUGUCUGUACUGGUGAGAUAAAUCUCUACCUUCUGAGGAACUUUCAUGUCAUUAAUUUGGUGUGAUGGGGAAUCAGGACUGUUACUUUGAAAAAAUUAGAGUGUUUAAAGCAGGCUAACGUCUGAAUACAUUAGCAUGGAAUAAUGAAAUAGGACGGACUGAUUCUAUUUCGUUGGUUUCUAGGAUCACCGUAAUGAUUAAUAGGGAUAGUUGGGGGCAUUAGUAUUCAAUUGUCAGAGGUGAAAUUCUUGGAUUUAUUGAAGACUAACUACUGCGAAAGCAUUUGCCAAGGAUGUUUUCAUUAAUCAAGAACGAAAGUUAGUGGAUCGAAGACGAUCAGAUACCGGCGUAGUCUUAACCAUAAACUAUGCCGACUAGGGAUCGGACGAAGUUAAUUUUAUAAUGACGCGUUCGGCACCUUACG
RNAcentral lists this ribosomal RNA (502 nucleotides) under uncultured Glomeromycotina. RNAcentral's name for it is "partial small subunit ribosomal RNA". It matches the Rfam family "Eukaryotic small subunit ribosomal RNA", at positions 591 to 1092 of the family's 1831-position model. Lineage: Eukaryota; Fungi; Glomeromycota. The record is from RNAcentral.